Molecule: ribosomal RNA, 796 nt
Filed under: uncultured bacterium
Lineage: Bacteria
Description: bacterial SSU rRNA
Rfam family: Bacterial small subunit ribosomal RNA
Source: RNAcentral
AUUAGCAAUAGUCAUAGUGGCGCACGGGUGAGUAACACGUAGCUUAUCUGCCCUCAAGAGCGGGAUAACUCAGCGAAAGCUGAGCUAAUACCGCAUAAGCUCACAUCGAAUAGGUAGAGGUGAGAAAAGGUGAAAACCGCUUGAGGAUGAGGUUGCGACCCAUCAGCUAGUUGGAGUGGUAAAAGCACACCAAGGCAACGACGGGUAGGGGGCCUGAGAGGGUGACCCCCCACACUGGGACUGAGACACGGCCCAGACUCCUACGGGAGGCAGCAGUGAGGAAUAUUGGUCAAUGGGCGAAAGCCUGAACCAGCGACGCCGCGUGGGCGAUGAAGGUCUUCGGAUCGUAAAGCCCUUUUUUGAGUGACGAGUAAGGACGGUAGCUCAAGAAAAAGUGUCGGCUAACUACGUGCCAGCAGCCGCGGUAAAACGUAGGACGCAAGCGUUAUCCGGAAUUACUGGGCGUAAAGCGCGCGCAGGCGGUUCGAUAAGUCACCUGUGAAAGCUCAUGGCUAAACUGUGAGAGGUGAGGUGAUACUAUCGGACUAGAGAUUGCUAGAGGUAUGUGGAAUUCCGCGUGUAGUGGUGAAAUGCGUAGAGAUGCGGAGGAACACCAGUGGCGAAGGCGGCAUACUGGGGCAAUACUGACGCUGAGGCGCGAAAGCAUGGGUAGCGAACGGGAUUAGAAACCCCGGUAGUCCAUGCCGUAAACGAUGUACACUAAACGUUCAGUCCUGGAAACAAGACGGGGUGUUGAAGCAAACGCGAUAAGUGUACCGCCUGGGGAGUACGGUCG